GGGGGUGUGGCUCAGCUGGGAGAGCGCUUGCUUCGCAUGCAAGAGGCCGGCGGUUCGAAUCCGCUCACCUCCA
Molecule: transfer RNA, 73 nt
Filed under: subsurface metagenome
Description: tRNA-Ala
Rfam family: tRNA
About the family: Transfer RNA (tRNA) molecules are approximately 80 nucleotides in length.
Source: RNAcentral